Molecule: ribosomal RNA, 430 nt
Filed under: Pseudomonadota bacterium
Lineage: Bacteria; Pseudomonadati; Pseudomonadota
Description: Proteobacteria bacterium partial 16S ribosomal RNA
Rfam family: Bacterial small subunit ribosomal RNA
Source: RNAcentral
UGGGGAAUAUUGGACAAUGGGCGGAAGCCUGAUCCAGCCAUGCCGCGUGUGUGAAGAGGGCCUUUUGGUUGUAAAGCACUUUAAGCGAGGAGGAGGCUCUUCUAGUUAAUACCUAGGAUGAGUGGACGUUACUCGCAGAAUAAGCACCGGCUAACUCUGUGCCAGCAGCCGCGGUAAUACAGAGGGUGCGAGCGUUAAUCGGAUUUACUGGGCGUAAAGCGUGCGUAGGCGGCUGAUUAAGUCGGAUGUGAAAUCCCUGAGCUUAACUUAGGAAUUGCAUUCGAUACUGGUCAGCUAGAGUAUGGGAGAGGAUGGUAGAAUUCCAGGUGUAGCGGUGAAAUGCGUAGAGAUCUGGGGGAAUACCGAUGGCGAAGGCAGCCAUCUGGCCUAAUACUGACGCUGAGGUACGAAAGCAUGGGGAGCAAACAGG